CGGGUAGCCGGCCUGAGAGGCGACCCGGCCACAUUGGGACUGAGAUACGGCCCAGACUCNUACGGGAGGCAGCAGUGGGGAAUAUGNCACAAUGGGCGCAAGCCUGAUGCAGCGACGCCGCGUGCGGGAUGGAGGCCUUCGGGUUGUAAACCGCUUUUGAUCGGGAGCAAGCCCUUCGGGGUGAGUGUACCUUUCGAAUAAGCACCGGCUAACUACGUGCCAGCAGCCGCGGUAAUACGUAGGGUGCAAGCGUUAUCCGGAAUUAUUGGGCGUAAAGGGCUCGUAGGCGGUUCGUCGCGUCCGGUGUGAAAGCCCAUCGCUUAACGGUGGGUCUGCGCCGGGUACGGGCGGGCUGGAGUGCGGUAGGGGAGACUGGAAUUCCCGGUGUAACGGUGGAAUGUGUAGAUAUCGGGAAGAACACCAAUGGCGAAGGCAGGUCUCUGGGCCGUCACUGACGCUGAGGAGCGAAAGCGUGGGGAGCGAACAGGAUUAGAUACCCUGGUAGUCCACGCCGUAAACGGUGGAUGCUGGAUGUGGGGCCCGUUCCACGGGUUCCGUGUCGGAGCUAACGCGUUAAGCAUCCCGCCUGGGGAGUACGGCCGCAAGGCUAAAACUCAAAGAAAUUGACGGGGGCCCGCACAAGCGGCGGAGCAUGCGGAUUAAUUCGAUGCAACGCGAAGAACCUUACCUGGGCUUGACAUGUUCCCGACAGCCGUAGAGAUAUGGCCUCCCUUCGGGGCGGGUUCACAGGUGGUGCAUGGUCGUCGUCAGCUCGUGUCGUGAGAUGUUGGGUUAAGUCCCGCAACGAGCGCAACCCUCGCCCUGUGUUGCCAGCACGUCAUGGUGGGAACUCACGGGGGACCGCCGGACCAAGCUUCAAGGCC
This 884-nucleotide ribosomal RNA is filed under the name human gut metagenome. RNAcentral's name for it is "bacterial SSU rRNA". It matches the Rfam family "Bacterial small subunit ribosomal RNA", at positions 280 to 1171 of the family's 1533-position model. The record is from RNAcentral.